RNAcentral lists this ribosomal RNA (471 nucleotides) under uncultured bacterium. RNAcentral's name for it is "bacterial SSU rRNA". It matches the Rfam family "Bacterial small subunit ribosomal RNA", at positions 28 to 524 of the family's 1533-position model. The record is from RNAcentral.
GAUGAACGCUGGCGGCGUGCCUAACACAUGCAAGUCGAGCGAUCUUCUUCGGAAGAGAGCGGCGGACGGGUGAGUAACGCGUGGGUAACCUGCCCUGUACACACGGAUAACAUACCGAAAGGUAUGCUAAUACGAGAUAAUAUGCUUUUAUCGCAUGGUAGAAGUAUCAAAGCUCCGGCGGUACAGGAUGGACCCGCGUCUGAUUAGCUAGUUGGUAAGGUAACGGCUUACCAAGGCGACGAUCAGUAGCCGACCUGAGAGGGUGAUCGGCCACAUUGGAACUGAGACACGGUCCAAACUCCUACGGGAGGCAGCAGUGGGGAAUAUUGCACAAUGGGCGAAAGCCUGAUGCAGCAACGCCGCGUGAGCGAUGAAGGCCUUCGGUCGUAAAGACUCUGUCCUCAAGGAAGAUAAUGACGGUACUUGAGGAGGAAGCCCCGGCGUAACUACGUAGCCAGCAGCCGCGGUAAU